This 497-nucleotide ribosomal RNA is filed under the name uncultured bacterium. RNAcentral's name for it is "partial 16S ribosomal RNA". It matches the Rfam family "Bacterial small subunit ribosomal RNA", at positions 28 to 507 of the family's 1533-position model. The record is from RNAcentral.
GAUGAACGCUGGCGGCGUGCCUAAUACAUGCAAGUCGAGCGAACAGACGAGGAGCUUGCUCCUCUGACGUUAGCGGCGGACGGGUGAGUAACACGUGGAUAACCUACCUAUAAGACUGGGAUAACUUCGGGAAACCGGAGCUAAUACCGGAUAAUAUAUUGAACCGCAUGGUUCAAUAGUGAAAGACGGUUUUGCUGUCACUUAUAGAUGGAUCCGCGCCGCAUUAGCUAGUUGGUAAGGUAACGGCUUACCAAGGCAACGAUGCGUAGCCGACCUGAGAGAGUGAUCGGCCACACUGGAGCAGGAACACGGUCCAGACUCCUACGGGAGGCAGCAGUAGGGAAUCUUCCGCAAUGGGCGAAAGCCUGACGGAGCAACGCCGCGUGAGUGAUGGAGGUCUUCGGAUCGUAAAACUCUGUUAUUAGGGAAGAACAAAUGUGUAAGUAACUAUGCACGUCUUGACGGUACCUAAUCAGAAAGCCACGGCUAACUACGUG